UACCAAAAACAUCGCCUCCUGCAAUAUAAAGUAUAGGAGGUCCAGCCUGCCCAGUGACUACGGGUUCAACGGCCGCGGUAUAUUGACCGUGCAAAGGUAGCGCAAUCACUUGUCUUUUAAAUAGAGACCUGUAUGAAUGGCUAGACGAGGGCUUAACUGUCUCCCCCCUUCAGUCAGUGAAAUUGAUCUAUCCGUGCAGAAGCGGGUAUAAUACUACAAGACGAGAAGACCCUUUGGAGCUUAAGGUACAAAAUCCAGUCAUGUUAAACAACUCCAUAAAAAGCAGGAACUUAAUGGUCAUGGAAUUUUCUUCGGUUGGGGCGACCACGGAGGANAAACAAUCCUCCGAGUGGAAUGGGCCAAAACCCCUAAAGCCAAGAGAGACAUCUUUAAGCCGCAGAACAUCUGACCAAUAAUGANNNNNCUAAAAAGCCGAUCAACGGACCAAGUUACCCUAGGGAUAACAGCGCAAUCCUCUCCCAGAGCCCAUAUCGACGAGGGGGUUUACGACCUCGAUGUUGGAUCAGGACAUCCUGAUGGUGCAGCCGCUAUUAAGGGUUCGUNUG
Molecule: ribosomal RNA, 566 nt
Filed under: Hybopsis hypsinotus (highback chub)
Lineage: Eukaryota; Metazoa; Chordata; Actinopteri; Cypriniformes; Leuciscidae
Description: partial 16S ribosomal RNA
Rfam family: Bacterial large subunit ribosomal RNA
Source: RNAcentral